RNAcentral lists this ribosomal RNA (253 nucleotides) under uncultured bacterium. RNAcentral's name for it is "partial 16S ribosomal RNA". It matches the Rfam family "Bacterial small subunit ribosomal RNA", at positions 524 to 776 of the family's 1533-position model. The record is from RNAcentral.
UACGUAGGAGGCAAGCGUUGUUCGGAAUUACUGGGCGUAAAGCGCACGUAGGCGGCUUUGUAAGUUAGAGGUGAAAGCCUGGAGCUCAACUCCAGAACUGCCUUUAAGACUGCAUCGCUUGAAUCCAGGAGAGGUGAGUGGAAUUCCGAGUGUAGAGGUGAAAUUCGUAGAUAUUCGGAAGAACACCAGUGGCGAAGGCGGCUCACUGGACUGGUAUUGACGCUGAGGUGCGAAAGCGUGGGGAGCAAACAGG